AGGGUUCGAUUCUGGCUCAGGAUGAACGCUGGCGGCGUGCCUAACACAUGCAAGUCGAACGGACUUUUCAUGAAGCCUAGCGAUUGAAAAGUUAGUGGCGGACGGGUGAGUAACGCGUGGGUAACCUGCCUUACACAGGGGGAUAACAGUUAGAAAUGACUGCUAAUACCGCAUAAAACAGCAGAGUCGCAUGACUCAACUGUCAAAGAUUUAUCGGUGUAAGAUGGACCCGCGUCUGAUUAGCUUGUUGGUGGGGUAACGGCCUACCAAGGCAACGAUCAGUAGCCGGCCUGAGAGGGUGAACGGCCACAUUGGGACUGAGACACGGCCCAA
RNAcentral lists this ribosomal RNA (333 nucleotides) under uncultured bacterium. RNAcentral describes it as "bacterial SSU rRNA". It matches the Rfam family "Bacterial small subunit ribosomal RNA", at positions 8 to 334 of the family's 1533-position model. The record is from RNAcentral.